Molecule: transfer RNA, 73 nt
Filed under: Paramuricea clavata
Lineage: Eukaryota; Metazoa; Cnidaria; Anthozoa; Malacalcyonacea; Plexauridae
Rfam family: tRNA
About the family: Transfer RNA (tRNA) molecules are approximately 80 nucleotides in length.
Source: Rfam by way of RNAcentral
GACCGCGUAGCUCAGCUGGCAGAGCAUUGGGCUAGUAUUCCAAAGGUCGUAGGUUCGAUUCCCACCGUGGUCA